CUCCUUUAAUAUACUUACUGCAUUAUAAAUAAUAAUAUUAUAGUGUUCAUUUAUAGCAUGGAUGGGCAACUAGCAGCCCGUGUACCAUUUUUCACUGGGCCGUGCUACGUUUUACAAUUAAUUAUUAAAAUUAAAGAAAAGUUUAAUUUUACUAAGAGAUAGUGAAAGUAAAAUUGGCCUAUAGAUACUACAAAUGUUUUAGAGAGACGUACCAAUUUACUGAUCCGGAUUUUACUGACCAGACUUAACUGCCCCGACCUGGGCUCCUCGUUCUCCUGGGCUGAAAAUUGGAACAACCAUCCAUAGGUACACGGUUGACCUUAUAACCAAAAAUCAACUUUCCAAUGCCAUGGAGGCCUAUGCGUUUACAAUUUACAAUGAGAUAAUAGGUAAUACAUUAAUAAUAAUACAAUUAACAUUUG
Molecule: non-coding RNA, 422 nt
Organism: Cinara cedri
Lineage: Eukaryota; Metazoa; Arthropoda; Insecta; Hemiptera; Aphididae
Source: the annotation of a GenBank genome assembly